RNAcentral lists this ribosomal RNA (397 nucleotides) under uncultured bacterium. Its description in RNAcentral is "partial 16S ribosomal RNA". It matches the Rfam family "Bacterial small subunit ribosomal RNA", at positions 523 to 918 of the family's 1533-position model. The record is from RNAcentral.
AUACGUAGGGGGCGAGCGUUGUCCGGAAUGAUUGGGCGUAAAGGGCGCGUAGGCGGCGCGGUAAGUCUGGAGUGAAAGUCCUGCUUUCAAGGUGGGAAUUGCUUUGGAUACUGCCGCGCUUGAGUGCAGGAGAGGUUAUCGGAAUUCCCGGUGUAGCGGUGAAAUGCGUAGAGAUCGGGAGGAACACCAGUGGCGAAGGCGGGUAACUGGACUGCAACUGACGCUGAGGCGCGAAAGUGUGGGGAGCAAACAGGAUUAGAUACCCUGGUAGUCCACACUGUAAACGAUGAAUGCUAGGUGUAGGGGGUAUCGACCCCUUCUGUGCCGCAGUCAACACAAUAAGCAUUCCGCCUGGGGAGUACGGUCGCAAGAUUGAAACUCAAAUGAAUUGACGGGG